Molecule: long non-coding RNA, 1228 nt
Organism: Pan paniscus (pygmy chimpanzee)
Lineage: Eukaryota; Metazoa; Chordata; Mammalia; Primates; Hominidae
Source: Ensembl
UAUAAAGUACUAUGAGAAUUCAGGAGAGGGAGGGAAUACGGUCUACUGGGGUGAGGAGAGGUAAUCAGAAAAUCAGACUGACAGCAUAAGCCACACACACACAACACAUUUAGACCAUAGGAACUUUUUGGUAUGUGUAUGGAUUACAGAAUGUUUAAAAUUUAAGCCAGGUAUCAAAAAAUCAUGAUCCUUCCCGUAAAAGUUAAUAUUUAUUUUUUCAUGCUUUAUUUCAGUGCUCACCUAGCAACACUGGCUGUGGCUGAGGAGUGGUGUUCCUCUACACAGAGCCUGGGCUUUCCUCCAGACUUGCUGCCCUCAUGCAAGCCUCCUGCCUGAUGUCACCUGCCUGAUGCUGGUGCUUUUCGACUGCUGUAUCUAUGAAGGGAGAAGCAUUUGCUGCUGAAAGAGUUAUUGUAUUUGCUAUUGGCAACACUUGAGAGUAAAGUUUAGCAGAGUAAGAGAGACAUAAAUCUAGAGGUUUGGGGUAGUUUCUUUUUAAAGGAUGUAUCAUUUGUUUAUUUUAAAAAGUCUAAGAAGAAAAGAGGAAAGCAGCGGACACUUUUGAGAGCAUUUGAGGGUUAGAAAAGAUUUACAUCUUAGGAAUGAGGAUCCUUGAGCUUGUUUCCAAGUUCAUGGUGUUUUGAGUGUGGCAAGACUUUUUAAUACUAUGAAUGAUGCCCAUGGAAUCUUCUGUAACACUCAAUUGACGGGAAUCCUGAGGUACUAUAUAUCCCAGAUCUUAAUUUUCCCAAACACAUUGGAGUAUGAAGGACACGUUGUGAAUGACAGAAUUCUGUCAUUAUAUUUAAUUUACUAUCAAAUUUACCUACUAAAGUAGAGGACUGAUUAAGAUAAAUACAGACAAUGAUCUCAUCCUGGAAGGAAUUACUAUGGAAAAAGAAUUUGACAAGAAGAUCCCCUUUUUAUCUGAACAAUAAAACAUAUCAAUUUCUCCAAGCUCUUAUGUUUGGCCAGUUCAUCUGGUGAGAGAAUGGAAAAAGGGAGACAUUCAUCAAUUUUACAACCUGCAGUCCAUCAUCAGACCAAAUCAGGAAGAAGAGUGCAUGGAGAAAACAUUUGGGAAGAAAAGGUAUUUUCAAAACAUCUGGAGCAAGAGACAAAUCCCAUCAGCUCAGUUCCAACAAUAUAUGCAGGGACAGCAGGAUACCUGUCACAAAGAUGGAAUUGGUCAUUCGUUGGUGGCAUGAGUAAAUGGAUUGAUGAAUGA